RNAcentral lists this ribosomal RNA (253 nucleotides) under uncultured bacterium. RNAcentral's name for it is "partial 16S ribosomal RNA". It matches the Rfam family "Bacterial small subunit ribosomal RNA", at positions 524 to 776 of the family's 1533-position model. The record is from RNAcentral.
UACGGAGGGUGCAAGCGUUGUCCGGAUUUAUUGGGUUUAAAGGGUGCGUAGGCGGCUUUUUAAGUCCGGGGUGAAAGCCCGUUGCUCAACAACGGAACUGCCCCGGAAACUGGAGAGCUUGAGUACAGACGAGGGCGGCGGAAUGGAGGGUGUAGCGGUGAAAUGCAUAGAUACCCUCCAGAACCCCGAUUGCGAAGGCAGCUGCCUAGACUGUAACUGACGCUGAGGCACGAAAGCGUGGGGAGCGAACAGG